This 496-nucleotide ribosomal RNA is filed under the name uncultured bacterium. RNAcentral describes it as "partial 16S ribosomal RNA". It matches the Rfam family "Bacterial small subunit ribosomal RNA", at positions 28 to 507 of the family's 1533-position model. The record is from RNAcentral.
GACGAACGCUGGCGGCGUGCCUAAUACAUGCAAGUUGAGCGCUGAAGGUUGGUACUUGUACCAACUGGAUGAGCAGCGAACGGGUGAGUAACGCGUGGGGAAUCUGCCUUUGAGCGGGGGACAACAUUUGGAAACGAAUGCUAAUACCGCAUAAAAACUUUAAACACAAGUUUUAAGUUUGAAAGAUGCAAUUGCAUCACUCAAAGAUGAUCCCGCGUUGUAUUAGCUAGUUGGUGAGGUAAAGGCUCACCAAGGCGAUGAUACAUAGCCGACCUGAGAGGAGGAUGAGCCAAACUGGAAAUGAGACACGGUCCAGAAUCCUACGGGAGGCAGCAGUGGGGAAUAUUGGAAAAUGGGCGAAAGCCUGAUGCAGCGAUACCGCGUGGGUGAAGAAGGGCUUCGGGUUGUAAAGCCCUUUUGUUGGGAAAGAAAAGAAGGAGGUUAAUACACCGAUGUUCUGACGGUACCUAAAGAAUAAGCACCGGCUAACUUCGUG